UACGUAGGGUGCGAGCGUUAAUCGGAAUUACUGGGCGUAAAGCGUGCGCAGGCGGUUUUUUAAGACAGCUGUGAAAUCCCCGGGCUUAACCUGGGAACUGCGGUUGUGACUGGAAGACUGGAGUGUGGCAGAGGGGGGUGGAAUUCCACGUGUAGCAGUGAAAUGCGUAGAGAUGUGGAGGAACACCGAUGGCGAAGGCAGCCCCCUGGGUCAACACUGACGCUCAUGCACGAAAGCGUGGGGAG
RNAcentral lists this ribosomal RNA (245 nucleotides) under uncultured bacterium. Its description in RNAcentral is "partial 16S ribosomal RNA". It matches the Rfam family "Bacterial small subunit ribosomal RNA", at positions 524 to 768 of the family's 1533-position model. The record is from RNAcentral.